Astyanax mexicanus (Mexican tetra) is the source of this 786-nucleotide long non-coding RNA. RefSeq lists it as uncharacterized. Lineage: Eukaryota; Metazoa; Chordata; Actinopteri; Characiformes; Acestrorhamphidae. The transcript has 3 exons. The record is from RefSeq and is a predicted model, not a curated record.
UGGAGCAGGCUGCUGUGUUGGUAGUGGCAGCGAAUCGGGACUGAGCAAUUAGCUGCCCCGCCUUCAUCACUGCUGCAGUUCCAGUCCCCUUCCCCCCUUCUCUCUCUUUUCUCUCAUGCUGUGGAGGACUGGAGUAGUCUGGAGCCUGGAAGCUGCUUAAAAAUAAAAACUGUGAGAAAUAGUUUAAAAAGCUUAUAAAAGUGGCUAAAACCCAGUGAGAUAGGAGGCUGCAAACCCCCCAAUUUCAGUGAAGCUGCGGGGAAGUGAACGGAAAGGCAGUAAAUGCUGUUACUAACUAGAGCUGGUGAGAAGACCCAGCAGAGAUUCCAGUUCAUUCCAGAGGUCAGGUUUUUUGUUGGGGACCAUCAGAGCCUGGGGAGACAGAGUCUGGUGGAUCUUCGAAAAAGUAGAUGGCGAGCCACCCAAAGAGUGAACUAUUCUUGUGAGAUCUCAUCUUCACUACAAACUGGUGAAGUAACAGGAUAAAAGAUUAAAAGACUUUCUAGUUUUCUUUUUCUAACAAGCACCAGCACUUUUAUUACUUUUGUUUAUUCAUUUAUUUGUUUUCCGAGUUUUCUGAAUUGUAUAUGGGUUUUGUGUUUUGUUAUUUCAUUUGAUAUAAAGUGAUAUAGGUGAUAAAGGGUUAAAACAGAUAUAAGUCAUAUUAAACAAACAAGAGAUAAUCCUAGCUGUCUUAAAUAAUAAUAACCAAUUACAUCUAAAACCAAGAUAAUUAAUACAUCCUAAACUAUAAUAAUUUGAUUAAUUAAGCAUAAUUGAGUACAA